AGGUAAGCUACUAAGAGCGAAUGGUGGAUGCCUUGACUGGUAAAGGCGAUGAAGGACGUACUAGACUGCGAUAAGCUACGGGGAGCUGUCAAGAAGCUUUGAUCCGUAGAUUUCCGAAUGGGGCAACCCAAUGUAUAGAGAUAUACAUUACCUAUAUAGGAGCGAACGAGGGGAAUUGAAACAUCUUAGUACCCUCAGGAAAAGAAAUCAAUAGAGAUUGCGUCAGUAGCGGCGAGCGAAAGCGCAAGAGGGCAAACCCAGUGCUUGCACUGGGGGUUGUAGGACUGCAAUGUGCAAGAGGUAAGUUUAGCAGAACAUUCUGGAAAGUAUAACCAUAGAGGGUGAUAGUCCCGUAUGCGAAAAACAAACCUUAGCUAGCAGUAUCCUGAGUAGGGCGGGACACGAGGAAUCCUGUCUGAAUCCGGGUCGACCACGAUCCAACCCUAAAUACUAAUACCAGAUCGAUAGUGCACAAGUACCGUGAGGGAAAGGUGAAAAGAACUGAGGUGAUCAGAGUGAAAUAGAACCUGAAACCAUUUGCUUACAAUCAUUCAGAGCCCUAUGUAGCAAUACAGGGUGAUGGACUGCCUUUUGCAUAAUGAGCCUGCGAGUUGUGGUGUCUGGCAAGGUUAAGCAAACGCGAAGCCGUAGCGAAAGCGAGUCUGAAUAGGGCGCUUAGUCAGAUGCUGCAGACCCGAAACGAAGUGAUCUAUCCAUGAGCAAGUUGAAGCUAGUGUAAGAACUAGUGGAGGACUGAACCCAUAGGCGUUGAAAAGCCCCGGGAUGACUUGUGGAUAGGGGUGAAAGGCCAAUCAAACUUCGUGAUAGCUGGUUCUCUCCGAAAUAUAUUUAGGUAUAGCGUUGUGUCGUAAUAUAAGGGGGUAGAGCACUGAAUGGGCUAGGGCAUACACCAAUGUACCAAACCCUAUCAAACUCCGAAUACCUUAUAUGUAAUCACAGCAGUCAGGCGGCGAGUGAUAAAAUCCGUCGUCAAGAGGGAAACAACCCAGACUACCAGCUAAGGUCCCUAAAUCUUACUUAAGUGGAAAACGAUGUGAAGUUACUUAAACAACCAGGAGGUUGGCUUAGAAGCAGCCAUCCUUUAAAGAAAGCGUAAUAGCUCACUGGUCUAGUGAUUUUGCGCGGAAAAUAUAACGGGGCUAAAGUAAGUACCGAAGCUGUAGACUUAGUUUAC
RNAcentral lists this ribosomal RNA (1195 nucleotides) under Campylobacter jejuni. RNAcentral describes it as "partial 23S ribosomal RNA". It matches the Rfam family "Bacterial large subunit ribosomal RNA", at positions 1 to 1216 of the family's 2925-position model. Lineage: Bacteria; Pseudomonadati; Campylobacterota; Epsilonproteobacteria; Campylobacterales; Campylobacteraceae. The record is from RNAcentral.